This 253-nucleotide ribosomal RNA is filed under the name uncultured bacterium. RNAcentral describes it as "partial 16S ribosomal RNA". It matches the Rfam family "Bacterial small subunit ribosomal RNA", at positions 524 to 776 of the family's 1533-position model. The record is from RNAcentral.
CACGUAGGGGCCAAGCGUUGUCCGGAUUUAUUGGGCGUAAAGAGCGUGUAGGCGGCCUGACAAGUCUGCUGUGAAAACUCGAGGCUCAACCUCGAGAUGUCGGCGGAAACUGUCUGGCUAGAGUCCGGAAGAGGAGAGUGGAAUUCCUGGUGUAGCGGUGAAAUGCGCAGAUAUCAGGAAGAACACCUAUGGCGAAGGCAGCUCUCUGGGACGGUACUGACGCUGAGACGCGAAAGCGUGGGGAGCGAACAGG